Non-coding RNA from Podarcis lilfordi (Lilford's wall lizard), 1216 nucleotides. The record is from the annotation of a GenBank genome assembly. Lineage: Eukaryota; Metazoa; Chordata; Lepidosauria; Squamata; Lacertidae.
AGGGUCCAGUGUGCUUUGAAGAUGUUGCUGUUUGUUUCACAGAUGAGGAGUGGGAGUUGCUGGAUCCUGACCAGAGAGCUCUGCAUAAAGAUGUCAUGGAGGAGAAUCAUGGGAUCGUGGCCACUCUUGGUAAGGAACCCUUUUGAAUCCUAAUAUCUGUUUUUAAAUUCAAAACAGCUCUCUGUGAUGAACCUCAUAUAUUUUCACAGAACUCAACAGCGCCCCCUUAAGUCACCUGGGAUUACAAUAUUGCAGCGUCUGAACUCCCCAGGCCAUUUUAAGUGUAAACUUCAGAGUUAGGGAAGUUGGAGUAGCUUAUCGAAUCACAGGUUCCCCUAAGGAUGUCGGUUGAUUAAUUAAUGCACCCAACCCUUCAGAAAACCAUCCGUCUAACCCACUUGUGUUAUUCCUCUAUUACCAGUGUUAACAAGUCUUCUUCCUUAAUUUGUCCCUGAGGCGCUAAUCCAUUACUCUUCAUUGCAGAUAGUGAUGGACUGGAAAUCGAGGAAAAGGGUGACCAUGACAAAAUCCCCACAAUGGAGAAGCUGAAUAAAUAUCUUGAAAGUAGAAAAAGUUCCAAUUCCACUUCCCAUCAAGGAAAUCUCAUUAGGAAGAAACCCUAUCAGUGCAUAGAAUGUGGAAAGAGCUUCAGGAAGAGCUCCUCUCUGACUUCCCAUCAGAGAAUUCAUACAGGGGAGAAGCCCUAUCAGUGUGUGGAAUGUGGAAAGACCUUCAGCGACAGCAGCAAUCUCACUUCCCAUCAAAGAAUUCAUACAGGGGAGAAGCCCUAUCAGUGCAUGGAAUGUGGAAAGAGCUUCGGACAGACAGCCCAUCUCACUUCCCAUCAAAGAAUUCAUACAGGGGAGAAACCCUAUCAGUGUGUGGAAUGUGGAAAAGGCUUCAGUCAGAGAGCCAAUCUCUCUUCCCAUCAAAGAAUUCAUACAGGGGAGAAACCCUAUCAGUGCGUAGUAUGUGGAAAGAGCUUCACUAAUAGCUGCAGUCUCACUUCCCAUCAGAGAAUUCAUACAGGGGAGAAACCCUAUCAGUGUGUGGAAUGUGGAAAGAGCUUUAGUCAGAGCUCCUCUCUCACUUCUCAUCAAAGAAUUCAUACAGGCAAGAAACCCUAUCAGUGCGUAGUAUGUGGAAAGAGCUUCAAUGGUAACUCUAAUCUCACUUCCCAUCAGAGAAUUCAUACAGGGGAGAACCCCUAUCAGUG